This 261-nucleotide ribosomal RNA is filed under the name uncultured bacterium. Its description in RNAcentral is "partial 16S ribosomal RNA". It matches the Rfam family "Bacterial small subunit ribosomal RNA", at positions 28 to 293 of the family's 1533-position model. The record is from RNAcentral.
GAUGAACGCUAGCGGCAGGCUUAACACAUGCAAGUCGAGGGGUAUAGUUCUUCGGAACUAGAGACCGGCGCACGGGUGCGUAACGCGUAUGCAAUCUACCUUUUGCAGAGGGAUAGCCCAGAGAAAUUUGGAUUAAUACCUCAUAGUAUAGCAGUUUCGCAUGAACCACUAUUAAAGUCACAACGGCAAAAGAUGAGCAUGCGUCCCAUUAGCUAGUUGGUAAGGUAACGGCUUACCAAGGCUACGAUGGGUAGGGGUCCU